AGCGGCGAACGGCUGAGUAACACGUUGGUAACUACCCCAAACUCAGGGAUAACCCGCCGAAAGGCGUGGCUAAUACCGGAUGGUCCCGAAAGGGUAAAGAUUUUUCGGUUUGGGAGGUGCCUGCGGCCUAUCAGCUUGUUGGUGAGGUAAGAGCUCGCCAAGGCUAUGACGGGUAGCUGGUCUGAGAGGAUGACCAGUCAGAAUGGAACUGAGACACGGUCCACACUCCUACGGGAGGCAGCAGUAAAGAAUCUUUCGCAAUGGGGGAAACCCUGACGAAGCAAUACCGCGUGGGUGAUGAAGGCCGAAAGGUUGUAAAGCCCUUUUCUGAGGGAAUAAUUUUGAAGGUACCUCAGGAAUAAGCACCGGCUAACUCCGUGCCAGCAGCCGCGGUAAUACGGAGGGUGCAAGCGUUACCCGGAAUCAUUGGGCGUAAAGCGUCCGCAGGCGGUUUGUUAAGUUAGUUAUUAAAUCUUGAAGCCCAACUUUAAGGCUGUGACUAAAACUGACAAACUAGAGUCUUUCAGAGGUGCGUGGAAUUCUGUGUGUAGGGGUAAAAUCCGUAGAUACACAGAGGAUCACCAAAAGCGAAGGCAGCGCACUGGGAAAGUACUGACGCUCAUGGACGAAAGCGUAGGUAGCGAACGGGAUUAGAUACCCCGGUAGUCUACGCCGUAAACGAUGGAUACUAGUUGUUGGA
This 700-nucleotide ribosomal RNA is filed under the name uncultured bacterium. RNAcentral's name for it is "bacterial SSU rRNA". It matches the Rfam family "Bacterial small subunit ribosomal RNA", at positions 94 to 827 of the family's 1533-position model. The record is from RNAcentral.